Molecule: ribosomal RNA, 359 nt
Filed under: Escherichia coli
Lineage: Bacteria; Pseudomonadati; Pseudomonadota; Gammaproteobacteria; Enterobacterales; Enterobacteriaceae
Description: bacterial LSU rRNA
Rfam family: Bacterial large subunit ribosomal RNA
Source: RNAcentral
GGGUUGUGAGGUUAAGCGACUAAGCGUACACGGUGGAUGCCCUGGCAGUCAGAGGCGAUGAAGGACGUGCUAAUCUGCGAUAAGCGUCGGUAAGGUGAUAUGAACCGUUAUAACCGGCGAUUUCCGAAUGGGGAAACCCAGUGUGUUUCGACACACUAUCAUUAACUGAAUCCAUAGGUUAAUGAGGCGAACCGGGGGAACUGAAACAUCUAAGUACCCCGAGGAAAAGAAAUCAACCGAGAUUCCCCCAGUAGCGGCGAGCGAACGGGGAGCAGCCCAGAGCCUGAAUCAGUGUGUGUGUUAGUGGAAGCGUCUGGAAAGGCGCGCGAUACAGGGUGACAGCCCCGUACACAAAAAUG